Long non-coding RNA from Anopheles gambiae (African malaria mosquito), 418 nucleotides. RefSeq lists it as uncharacterized. The transcript has 4 exons. The record is from RefSeq and is a predicted model, not a curated record. NCBI's taxonomy places the organism in Eukaryota, Metazoa, Arthropoda, Insecta, Diptera, Culicidae.
UGUCACAACUUCAAGAAUUAUAAUUUUAACAAUCUUAUAAAUAAAAUAUGUAAAUAAUAAAAAAAAGAUUAUUUAUUUAUUUACCCUGUGUUUUGUUGUGAUAAAAAAUGAGGCGUCCCUUUGUGAAGGUAGCUCGCAACAAACGAUCGACAGCACGGUUCGUGUACGUGCAGCUGCGGGAAGGGCUGUAUUGCUGGAAGGUUGCUGGUAGCUGGUUGCUGGUAGCUGCAGCUGCGGGAAGGGCAGUAUUGCUGGAAGGUUGCUGGUAGCUGCAGCUGCGGGAAGGGCUGUAUUGCUGGAAGGUUGCUGGUAGCUGGUUGCUGGUAGCUGCAGCUGCUGGUUUUUCAUCGUUCCGGUACGCCACGAAGACCUCAAAGUUUUUUGUGAUAUAAAAAUAAAUAAAAAGAAAGAAUGAAAA